GAGCGCACCCUUGUCCUUAGUUGCCAGCACGUAAUGGUGGGAACUCUAGGGAGACUGCCGGUGACAAACCGGAGGAAGGUGGGGACGACGUCAAGUCAUCAUGGCCCUUACGACCUGGGCUACACACGUGCUACAAUGGCCAGUACAGAGGGCUGCAAGCCCGCGAGGGGGAGCUAAUCUCACAAAGCUGGUCGUAGUCCGGAUCGCAGUCUGCAACUCGACUGCGUGAAGUUGGAAUCGCUAGUAAUCGUGAAUCAGAAUGUCACGGUGAAUACGUUCCCGGGNCUUGCACACACCGCCCGU
Molecule: ribosomal RNA, 303 nt
Filed under: uncultured bacterium
Lineage: Bacteria
Description: SSU rRNA
Rfam family: Bacterial small subunit ribosomal RNA
Source: RNAcentral